GAAAAAAGAUCCGUAGAUAGGUGUACCUGGGUGGGUUGACGGAGAGGUCAGGCCAGUUGAAUGGGUGGGAAGAAGGAGGAGCCCGACGAUCGAGGCAUAUUUAGGUGUGGACGGGCGCCGAUCGAUUCUAAGUGGAGCGAAGAGAGAAGUGUAGUUCCUAAGUAGACCGGAUAGAGAAGGGGCGUCCUUGGGGGGUUUGACAAGGAGAGUUCGAGCAGUCUUUACCGGAGGCCCUCAGUUUGGGUCCUCUCGUUCGUCGGUUCGGGCCUCGACGGCUUCGUCGACGGCAAGCUGAAAGAGUUCUUCUAGUGGUUGCUAAAGCGGCUUCUGGCGUUCUAUUCGCCGUCGGGGAAGCCGUGUGAGAUGUUCCCCUAACACGGCCUACUGCCGUCUCACUAACGCCACUUCUUCGAAGUCCUCUUGCGCGGUUACGGCCGACUGUUCGUCAAGUUGUUCCUCCAGGUCUUACACUACAGAGAGUUCGUACUCUUGUAACACCUCCAGCAACCCAAGACGUCGCUCUGCGUCUUCUUUGACCACGUCAAACUAUUCUCUAUGUAGGUCCGUCUGUAGUGACUCUCGAACUAGACGAUACUCAUAAAUGGAUUACCCUCGGAAGUCCUCUUAGAAAAACUCGGGUUUCUAAGCUGAUUUGUUCUAUAAUCAACCCUGUGUGCGAAGUUUUAUUAGUUCCCCUAAACGGUCCCGAAUAUAAAAGACGUGUUCAACCUGUAAGGGUAACAGGUAUACCUAAACUUCGGACUUUUAUAUGACAACCUACGUUUAUACCACGGUUUCUAGCGGCUAAAACGUGAGAGUGCCCAGAAACCGGUUCUUGUUUGGGCUGACACGUGUGUUUGUCAACAGCCUAGUAUACCCAUGUACCGAGGUCUUAUAGAAAUGUCUCCACUUUAGAGCCGAGUCAGUCUGUAUAUGUCAAAUCCGGAUCACUAUUAGCUCUAGCGGUGGUCUCUCGUCUUAGGAGCGCUUUUUCUGGUUGGUAGACGCUCUUCAAAACAGCUAUUUCACGCAUUUCUUACCUGCGACCUCUUGUAUUGUAGGCUCAUAAGUAGUGACCUAGUACUUUCGGAGGUUGUUCAAUUUUGUACGUAACUAUAACCCAGUUUUACACAACUCUAACUAUCUUGUUUUUCUGGAGCCUAUCUUCUUUAGCAAUUGAGCGAGUUUCCUGAUGUAGGUUCGGUUUCCCAAUGGCUCCAGCGGGCAGGCAGAUGUUGAUGGUUCUUCAGUUAAUCGAGGAAAAAACCAGUAUUCUUUACUUUGUACGUGCGGGACAAUAACGACCUUCUGACAUUGAAAUUAAACCUUUCUUCUGGGAAACAACGGUACAGUAAAACCUUUAUAACUUCACAUUAAAACAUACACAUUACAUAAAAUAAUAAUAAUUAGUACGUUGUCAUCAAAAUCGCAACAGAGACGAAUACAGUCAAACUUUACUCUUAGACAAAGAGAUCGUACGUUUCAGCAACUGAUUCUACCAUGUUCAAUUAGAACAAAACAUUCUUAAUGCAAGCAACUAAAGUUUAUAAAUUUUCCCCCUCUGAUA
This 1567-nucleotide ribosomal RNA is filed under the name Triticum aestivum (bread wheat). RNAcentral describes it as "partial small subunit ribosomal RNA". Lineage: Eukaryota; Viridiplantae; Streptophyta; Magnoliopsida; Poales; Poaceae. The record is from RNAcentral.